RNAcentral lists this ribosomal RNA (200 nucleotides) under uncultured bacterium. RNAcentral's name for it is "partial 16S ribosomal RNA". It matches the Rfam family "Bacterial small subunit ribosomal RNA", at positions 28 to 224 of the family's 1533-position model. The record is from RNAcentral.
GAUGAACGCUAGCGGCAGGCUUAAUACAUGCAAGUCGAGGGGCAGCGCAGUGUAGCAAUACUGGGUGGCGACCGGCAAACGGGUGCGGAACACGUACGCAACCUUCCUUCAAGUGGGGGAUAGCCCACCGAAAGGUGGAUUAAUACCUCGUAACAUAAUGGAGUGGCAUCACUCUAUUAUUAUAGCUCCGGCGUUUGAAG